This 405-nucleotide ribosomal RNA is filed under the name uncultured prokaryote. Its description in RNAcentral is "bacterial SSU rRNA". It matches the Rfam family "Bacterial small subunit ribosomal RNA", at positions 355 to 776 of the family's 1533-position model. The record is from RNAcentral. RNAcentral also lists the same sequence under 1 other name.
UGGGGAAUAUUGCACAAUGGGGGAAACCCUGAUGCAGCGACGCCGCGUGAGUGAUGAAGUAUUUCGGUAUGUAAAGCUCUAUCAGCAGGGACGAAAAAAGACGGUACCUGACUAAGAAGCCCCGGCUAACUACGUGCCAGCAGCCGCGGUAAUACGUAGGGGGCAAGCGUUAUCCGGAUUUACUGGGUGUAAAGGGAGCGUAGGUGGUAUGAUAAGUCAGAUGUGAAAGCCCAGGGCUUAACCCUGGGACUGCAUUUGAAACUGUCAAACUAGAGUGCAGGAGAGGUAAGUGGAAUUCCUAGUGUAGCGGUGAAAUGCGUAGAUAUUAGGAGGAACACCAGUGGCGAAGGCGACUUACUGGACUGUAACUGACACUGAGGCUCGAAAGCGUGGGGAGCAAACAGG